Long non-coding RNA from Ictalurus furcatus (blue catfish), 666 nucleotides. RefSeq lists it as uncharacterized. NCBI's taxonomy places the organism in Eukaryota, Metazoa, Chordata, Actinopteri, Siluriformes, Ictaluridae. The record is from RefSeq and is a predicted model, not a curated record. The transcript is spliced from 3 exons.
GUGGCGUUUCAAAAGUGUAACGGUGGUAUGAGAAAUGACAAAUCGAGCUCGGGUUGCCCACAACAAAGAUGGCCCAAAGUGGCACCAAGGUGCCAGGAGAAGCCAAGCUGAGCUGGCAAUUCCCAGAACGCAGCUGCCACUGUCCUGUAACUCGCAGAGACGGUCAGAAUGUUUCGGCAGCCCAGGACGAGACGAGAAAAGGUUGAAGGAAUUCAGGAAGAGCCUGUCAGGAAGCUGGGGUCAGAGUUCAGGGUCAGCCAUGAUACAGCGCCCCCUGGAGCAGAGAGAGUUAAGGGCCUUGCUCAAGGGUCCAACAGUGGCGGCUUGGUUUGAACCCUGACCUUCCGAUGAGUAACCCAGAGCCUUAACCGCCAAGCCACCGCCGCCCCAAACAAGCUUAAGGAAAGAAAAGGAAGACCCUCUGAUCGGCUCCUCCCAAACACACAGAACAUACUGCACCUCUCUGUGAAAACGGAGAGGAGGACAGAGACAGACAAAGAGAAAGAGAGAGAGGAGAACGGAGCAAGACGGGGAUAGACAGCGACUAUACGAGAAGAAGGAGGGUAUGUAACGUUCGCGUCACCCCAAAAUAAAUGAAGUGUACACUUUCGCAGCCUACCUGCGGAUCUGCUUGUCCCCUCGCCGCCGACAUGGCUGAUGAAGAGA